GACGAACGCUGGCGGCGUGCUUAACACAUGCAAGUCGAACGGGUAUGCCCUGUUUUUUGCGGGGUGGGCAAGUGCCGAACGGGUGAGUACCACGUGAGUACCCUGCCCCUCCCUUCUGGAUAACCCCUUGAACGGCUGCCUAAUACGGGUUGUUCUGGAUGUGCCGCAUGGUGUGGCUGGGAAAGAUUCCCUUUUGUGGUGUUUUGGUGGGGGAUGGGCUUGGGGCCUAUCAGCUUGUUGGCGGGGUAAUGGCCUGCUAAGGCGUCGGAGGGUAGCCGGCCUGAGAGGGAGUGAGGCCAGACUGGGACUGAGACACGGCGCAGAAGUCUGGGGGAGUCAGCAGUGGGGAAAAUUGCAAUACGGGGGAGUGCCUGAUGCAGCGAAGCCGUGUGAGUGAUGACGGCCUUUGGGUUGUGAACAACGUCCUGCAGGGAGGGAGGGAGAGUGCGGUAGCCGGCUGAUGAAGCGCCGGCUAACUACGUG
Molecule: ribosomal RNA, 483 nt
Filed under: uncultured bacterium
Lineage: Bacteria
Description: partial 16S ribosomal RNA
Rfam family: Bacterial small subunit ribosomal RNA
Source: RNAcentral